RNAcentral lists this ribosomal RNA (351 nucleotides) under uncultured bacterium. RNAcentral describes it as "bacterial SSU rRNA". It matches the Rfam family "Bacterial small subunit ribosomal RNA", at positions 8 to 353 of the family's 1533-position model. The record is from RNAcentral.
AGAGUUUGAUCCUGGCUCAGAUUGAACGCUGGCGGCAUGCUUUACACAUGCAAGUCGAACGGCAGCGACGGGGAGCUUGCUCCCGGGUGGCGAGUGGCGCACGGGUGAGUAAUACAUCGGAACGUGUCCUGUUGGUGGGGGAUAACUGCUACGAAAGGGUGGCUAAUACCGCAUGAGACCUGAGGGUAGAAAGCGGGGGAUCGCAAGACCUCGCGCAAUUGGAGCGGCCGAUGCCCGAUUAGCUAGUUGGUGAGGUAAAGGCUCACCAAGGCGACGAUCGGUAGCUGGUCUGAGAGGACGACCAGCCACACUGGGACUGAGACACGGCCCAGACUCCUACGGGAGGCAGCA